GUGGGUGUAGUUCAGCGUAGAGCGCGUGCCUAGCGUGCACGGGGUCCUGGGUUCAAUCCCCAGUCCCUCCA
This 71-nucleotide transfer RNA is filed under the name Camelus bactrianus (Bactrian camel). It matches the Rfam family "tRNA". From Rfam's summary of the family: Transfer RNA (tRNA) molecules are approximately 80 nucleotides in length. The record is from Rfam by way of RNAcentral. Lineage: Eukaryota; Metazoa; Chordata; Mammalia; Artiodactyla; Camelidae. RNAcentral also lists the same sequence under 1 other name.